RNAcentral lists this ribosomal RNA (253 nucleotides) under uncultured bacterium. Its description in RNAcentral is "partial 16S ribosomal RNA". It matches the Rfam family "Bacterial small subunit ribosomal RNA", at positions 524 to 776 of the family's 1533-position model. The record is from RNAcentral.
GACGUAGGGUGCGAGCGUUGUCCGGAUUUAUUGGGCGUAAAGAGCUCGUAGGCGGCUCGUCGCGUCGACCGUGAAAACCCGCGGCUUAACUGCGGGCUUGCGGUUGAUACGGGCGGGCUAGAGUUCGGUAGGGGAGACUGGAAUUCCUGGUGUAGCGGUGAAAUGCGCAGAUAUCAGGAGGAACACCGGUGGCGAAGGCGGGUCUCUGGGCCGAUACUGACGCUGAGGAGCGAAAGCCAGGGGAGCAAACGGG